AUUCCAGCUCCAAUAGCGUAUAUUAAAGUUGUUGCAGUUAAAAAGCUCGUAGUUGGAUUUCUGACAGGGGGCCGAACACCACUGUAGUGAGUGUUUUGGUACCUGUCAUCCUUCUGUUAACCCUAGCGUCAUUCAUUUGUCGUUGGGCGGACCAGAUACUUUACCUUGAGAAAAUUAGAGUGUUUCAGGCAGGCCUAGCCGGAAUACAUUAGCAUGGAAUAAUGGAAUAGGACUAUAGUCUCGUCGUUGGUUACGUGGACUGCAGUAAUGAUUAAUAGGGAUAGUUGGGGGCAUUAGUAUUUAACUAUCAGAGGUGAAAUUCUUGGACUUGUUAAAGACGGACUACUGCGAAAGCAUUUGCCAAGGAUGUUUUCAUUA
This 378-nucleotide ribosomal RNA is filed under the name Strombidiidae sp. RNAcentral describes it as "partial small subunit ribosomal RNA". It matches the Rfam family "Eukaryotic small subunit ribosomal RNA", at positions 582 to 975 of the family's 1831-position model. The record is from RNAcentral. Lineage: Eukaryota; Ciliophora; Spirotrichea; Strombidiidae.